GGUAAAGUGGCUGAUAAAAGCAAUAGACUGUAAAUCUAAGAAUAGGGGUUGAGUCCUCUUUUUACCAA
RNAcentral lists this transfer RNA (68 nucleotides) under Procyon lotor (raccoon). Its description in RNAcentral is "Tyr-tRNA". It matches the Rfam family "tRNA". From Rfam's summary of the family: Transfer RNA (tRNA) molecules are approximately 80 nucleotides in length. Their secondary structure includes four short double-helical elements and three loops (D, anti-codon, and T loops). Lineage: Eukaryota; Metazoa; Chordata; Mammalia; Carnivora; Procyonidae. The record is from RNAcentral.